Oreochromis aureus is the source of this 563-nucleotide long non-coding RNA. Lineage: Eukaryota; Metazoa; Chordata; Actinopteri; Cichliformes; Cichlidae. The record is from Ensembl.
CGAAAGACCAUCGUACAAACAAAGACUCUGAAAUAAGCCUGUUUGAUUCUUCUCUUUUGGAUAAUCUCGAUCAAAUCGACAUAUCGGAUUUGGACAACUAUGUUUUUUCGAGUUCACCUAGUUCUUCGCCCAGUUCUUCACCACCACCGGUUUUAGAGCGAGCUACAGGCAAGAACAUCCGUCUCUCGACCCGCGAGAGACAGGCCUUGCUUUCUGCAAGGGCUUGCCCAGCUUCAGCCCCCCAGCGUCCCUCGGGGAAAAACCUGAAUCUAACCGCCCGGGAGAGGGAACAACUGUUCGCGGCACACGCUCCCAGUCCCCCUGUCGGAGCUUCAGCCCUCCAGCGUCCCUCGGGGAAAAACCUGAAUCUAACCGCCCGGGAGAGGGAACAACUGUUUGCGGAACACGCGCCCAGUGCCGGUGUCGGUCUCGGAGCUUCUCUUCCUUCACCGGGGCCAAGACAUCCACAGCCCUUGCCUCGGAGAUCCAAUCGAGGGCAUCUCAGAAACAGGAGUAGGAGGACCGUUAGGAGGACCCGCAGGCCUGCCAGCAAAAGGAGGACA